RNAcentral lists this ribosomal RNA (583 nucleotides) under Pseudozyma sp. RNAcentral describes it as "LSU rRNA". It matches the Rfam family "Eukaryotic large subunit ribosomal RNA", at positions 58 to 621 of the family's 3401-position model. The record is from RNAcentral. Lineage: Eukaryota; Fungi; Basidiomycota; Ustilaginomycetes; Ustilaginales; Ustilaginaceae.
AAAGAAACUAACAAGGAUUCCCCUAGUAACGGCGAGUGAAGAGGGAAGAGCCCAAGAUUGAAAGCUGGCGUCUUCGGCGUCCGCAUUGUAAUCUCAAGAAGUGUUUUCCGCUUCGGACCAUGCCUAAGUCCCUUGGAAAAGGGUAUCAUAGAGGGUGAUAAUCCCGUACAUGGCAUGGAGCGCCCGAAGCUUUGUGAUACGCUUUCUACGAGUCGAGUUGUUUGGGAAUGCAGCUCAAAAUGGGUGGUAAAUGCCAUCUAAGGCUAAAUAUUGGGGAGAGACCGAUAGCGAACAAGUACAGUGAUGGAAAGAUGAAAAGAACUUUGAAAAGAGAGUUAAACAGUACGUGAAAUUGCCAAAAGGGAAGGGUAGGAGGUCAGAGAUGCGUCUUGGGAUUCAGCCUUGCUUUUGCAUGGUGUUUUUCCCAAGCUGCAGGCCAACGUCGGUUUUGGGCACUGGAGAAGGGUAGGAGGAACGUGGCACCUCUCGGGGUGUGUUAUAGCCUCCUACUGGAUACAGCGACCGAGACCGAGGAACGCAGCGUACUCGUAAGAGCGGGCCUUUUGGCACCUUUACGCUUAGG